CCUACGGGUGGCAGCAGGGAGGAAUAUUGGUCAAUGGGCGGACGCCUGAACCAGCCAAGUCGCGUGAGGGAAGACUGCCCUAUGGGUGGUAAACCUCUGUUGUCAGGGAGCAACGCCGGCUACGUGUAGCCGGACUGAGAGGACCUGAAGAAAAAGCAUCGGCUACACCAGUGCCAGCAGCCGCGGUAAUACGGAGGAUGCGAGCGUUAUCCGGAUUUAUUGGGUUUAAAGGGUGCGUAGGCGGAAUGCCAAGUCAGCGGUAAAAUCGCGGGGCUCAACCUCGCUCCGCCGUUGAAACUGGCGGUCUUGAGUGGGCGAGAAGUAUGCGGAAUGCGUGGUGUAGCGGUGAAAUGCAUAGAUAUCACGCAGAACUCCGAUUGCGAAGGCAGCAUACCGGCGCCCAACUGACGCUGAAGCACGAAAGCGUGGGUAUCGAACAGGAUUAGAUACCCGGGUAGUC
This 460-nucleotide ribosomal RNA is filed under the name uncultured bacterium. RNAcentral describes it as "partial 16S ribosomal RNA". It matches the Rfam family "Bacterial small subunit ribosomal RNA", at positions 338 to 795 of the family's 1533-position model. The record is from RNAcentral.